CAGUAGCCACGGUAAUACGAAGGGUGCAAGCGUUACUCGGAAUUACUGGGCGUAAAGCGUGCGUAGGUGGUGGUUUAAGUCCGUUGUGAAAGCCCUGGGCUCAACCUGGGAAUUGCAGUGGAUACUGGGUCACUAGAGUGUGGUAGAGGAUAGUCGAAUUUCCGGUGUAGCAGUGAAAUGCGUAGAGAUCGGAAGGAACAUCUGUGGCGAAGGCGACUAUCUGGGCCAACACUGACACUGAGGCACGAAAGCGUGGGGAGCAAACAGGAUUAGAUACCCCCGUAGUCCCUGUCUCUUAUAC
RNAcentral lists this ribosomal RNA (301 nucleotides) under uncultured bacterium. RNAcentral's name for it is "partial 16S ribosomal RNA". It matches the Rfam family "Bacterial small subunit ribosomal RNA", at positions 509 to 807 of the family's 1533-position model. The record is from RNAcentral.